GGAGACGUGUCGGAGUGGUCUAACGUACCUCCUUGCUAAGGAGGCAGGCUGUUACAGGUCUCGCGAGUUCGAAUCUCGCCGUCUCCGCCA
RNAcentral lists this transfer RNA (90 nucleotides) under Minisyncoccota bacterium. RNAcentral describes it as "tRNA-Ser". It matches the Rfam family "tRNA". From Rfam's summary of the family: Transfer RNA (tRNA) molecules are approximately 80 nucleotides in length. Their secondary structure includes four short double-helical elements and three loops (D, anti-codon, and T loops). The record is from RNAcentral. Lineage: Bacteria; Bacillati; Minisyncoccota.